Molecule: long non-coding RNA, 3810 nt
Organism: Talpa occidentalis (Iberian mole)
Lineage: Eukaryota; Metazoa; Chordata; Mammalia; Eulipotyphla; Talpidae
Exons: 4
Source: RefSeq, a predicted model, not a curated record
CGCGCUCCUCCUUCUGCCCUCAGGGGUGCCCUGUCUGGAAGUGGCGGGUUUCUGCUGUGUCUGUCGUGGUGUUGGGCUCAGUUGCGCCGCUCUCCUGUGUGGGUCGUGGCUGCAGGGCUCAGUGGCCAAGAGAAACCAGUUCUGGAUUUGGUUGAUUGCUGGUCUAAGACAAGAUUCCAAGGCGGACUCCGUGGUGGCCUGAGCGUGGAGUCUCAGCCGAUACCAGCCAGAAGGCCUGAGGCCCAGCCCUAGCCGGGGAGUGACCCACAGGGCGCAGCAAACCUCCCCUGUCUCCCCGCUGCAGUGGAUCCGCCUGUGCUGCUCCCCACUCUGUCUCUGGGCUCCAGAGACCUCCAAAAAAGGUGAGGAAGCUGCCUCCAUGGGCAGGACUGGACAACCCAGAAAAAGAAAAAAUCCUGGUAACCUUGAGAAAAGGAAACCCCGCGUGAGUCUGAUGAAACCAACUUUGUUCCUGGAGCCUGCAUGGACCCAAUGUCAAGAGUUCACUCUGAUCCUACAUGAGUAUUCCAGCAAAGCCAUUUAAAAUUGCUGUUUGGUUAUUCUGCCCUGUGGUUUUAUGCAAAAGUAGUCUGAAAGUAGAUUUAGUUUACAAAUAUUUUGCUGUACUGUUUGAUAAAAUUGGGGGUCAGAAUGGAGAGAAUUUGUUUUUAGAUAGGUUGAACCAGUUUUAAGAUUUUUUUUUUCUUAUGGUGAUUUAGAUAUAUUUGCUGUUUUGUUUUGGCUAAUGCCUCCUGAUGUUUUUCCUUUUGCCAUAGACUGACAGACUAAUUUCCAGGAAUGAAGGACUGCCACACUGGACAUUCAUGGACAAUACUGCAGUGGAACAACUUUUUGUCCCAGAGGAACCAGGUCCUGGGCCCUGGGACGUAGACCAUCCAUUGUGAGGACCAACUUGGCUGGGACCUUAAAACAUUUAACUUGGGGGAGAGGGUAUGUUAUCACCUACAGGACCACUUUGGGUUCCAGCAGAAAAGGACCAAUCUUAUUCCAGAGCUCCAGCCAUCAGUCGUCCAGCCGCCACCCAGGAUACCACCCAUGAGUCAAAAAGGAGAAAGGAGGAUCCUUCCCAUAGACUGCACAGUCCUUGGGAACAUCAGAUCAAGACUUGAUGUCCUUGAGGCUGCUGUGUGCUGACUUGGUGAACACCAGCAGGGCACCGGACUCAAUUGUGAUUUGUUGUGAGACCAUUCUAUCUAACUCCUAUUGCUUUUGGUACAGUCCCUCCUGAGAAGCGGUUCAAAGACAUCACGAUGCAUUCCAUAGUAACCUUGGACUCCAUGUCAUGGACCUUGAAGAGAGACUACAGCAACAAUUGACACGGUUGCAGCAGGAAGCACAAAAUGCCACAUUGGCACAUUUGAAUGACAUUGCCUAUUGGCUGAAUCCAACAAAACUGUAUUGAGAUAUUGGAGUUUAGAUUUUGUUUGGUAUAGGUUUAUUGUUUUUGUUAAUUUUUACUUAUCAUUUUAAAAGCCCUGUCUGCCUGUUGCAGAAAACUCUUUUUGCUGAGGCCAGGCUGAUCUCCCUGUAAAAGGGAGCACCCCAUCAUUCAUUAUACUAACCCUUGUUUUUGCAUACGUUACUCUGCAUAGUCCUCUACAAAAGCUAAUGAAGAAGCACGUGGGAGCAGAAACAACUAAACAUUGCCACCAUAUUCACUGUCAAGACUGUAUUAAAAAACAAAAUUGGGGGAAAUGUUGCAGACCUCUAAGGCAUGAAAUGCUAGGACAAGGAGAAUGUUGGGAUCGUGACUGGAAGACUGGUCAACACGGGCUGGAAGAAUGGCCUGUGUCCAGAACAUGAUGUCCUUUCCUGUGUCAGCAAAGCUAAGCCUGAGAAGCAAGCAAGAUUAGACAGGGAGUAGAAUAUACCCAAUAACGCAGAGCCUGGGGCUGUGAAUGUGUGCCUGAACAAGGCCAAACUCUAAGAAAAUGAUUCAUUGUCUAGUAACUAAUGGGGGAGGGGAGAAGGCGGUUUGUAUCAAUAAAAAUGAGUUGCAUUGGGCACUCGGGAUGCUUGAGCUCAGAAUGAGAGGUCUUGUGUCCCCUAGGUCCUGCUUCUCUUAAACCCUAUUUUGUGUCUGUCAUUUCUUUAUUCCAAAGUUCUUUCAGGUUCUUCUCCUCAACCUUGCUCACUGGAGCUGGUCUCCAUUAGUUAAUGAUAACAAAUGCCUUGUAAAACCUUCACAAGGAAAGGAGAAUAUUUUUGUGGACGAUUUGGUUUCUUUUGUGUGGCAGCUUUAAGUUAUUCCUUGUUUAAAUCAGUAUUUUUUAGUGGAAACAACUUGACCCAAAACCUGUCAGAAGUUUGAGACCUAUUAAAACAAAUUUUAAUGAGAACCCGUGUCUUCUCUUGGUCAACACUGUAGUCUAGGACUAAGAUAAGAUUUCAGUACGAGUUGCUCUGAGUCCUGAUAUUGCCUCCUGGGUAGGUAUUUUUGGGGUUUUCUUCAUCGUAAGGGAGUGAAUCAUCCAUAGAGAUAAAACUAUGGGCUGGCUGUUUUGGUGGUAGCACAUUAGGACAGAGGAGUCGAGUAACUUUGUUUUUAUGUAAGCUCAGGAGAGGACCAACAUCUAUACUGUUAAACUCCACAUGUUUCUUUUAACUUUUUUUUGUAGUUACAUCAAUGAGUAAAUUUGUUGGUAUAAUAUUCACGUUUAGUUUCUCAGUUACUAGAAUGUGCAUCCUCACAAAUAUGGAAAUAGUUUAUAAAGUGAGACUUAAAUAGUGUUGAGUUAAUUGCAUCCAGGUUAUAGGGAAAAUAAAACAUACUGGAAAAUGAAAAAAAUUCUCCAGAGAAAAUAUUUUAUACAAAUUUACACAGCCUGGUUCUCCUAAUCACUAGGAAUCAUGGUCAGUGAGUUCACCAAGAGGUCAAUCCUAAUUGCUUUGAGGUCAUGAAGAAGUCAGUGAGUUCACUGAGAAGUCAAAAUAAUUACUUGGGGUCAUGCAGAGGUCAGUGAGUUCAUGAAGAGGUCAGUGAGCUUGGUGUAGACUUCAGUGAAUUCAGAGUUGGUUCUCCUAGUCACUUGGGGUCAUGCAGAGGUCAGUGAGUUCACAGAGAGGUCAAUCUUAAUGACUUGGGGUCAUGCAAAAGUCAGCAAUGUCACAGAGAGGUCAAUCCUAAUUACCUGGGGUAUUUUUUUUUAAGAUUUAUUUUAUACAAGAACUGGGGUAGAGGUCAGAGGCAUGGGAGGGUGAGAGAAUUCACCAGAGACAGAGAAGGGAGCAGAACAGGCAGAUGGAUGAAAACACUGCUGAGGGGAGCAGGAGGGGUCUGCUGUGCCAUGUGGAUAUCCCCCCGGCAGGCAGGGAUGGAACCCCGAGCUGCAGAGGCUGCGGACACUUCACAGUGCUGUGUUCAAAGCCUGAGCCACCUAGGAGGCCCUACGUGGGGAUCUUUAUUUCACCAAGAGAGGGCGCUCCUAAUGCAUAGACUUAUUUAGCCUUAUUCUCCAGGGAAAACUCCAGCUAUUUUUCUUCUGGAAAAUUUAAAAUAAUGAAAAACUUCAAAGAGGAAGUCUUCAUGUCAAAUACAUGAUCUGUAGAAUUUCCUUUUUUGUAAUAUGUAGUGUUCAUAUUUUUUAAUUUAACAGGAAAACCGUACAUACUUGCUUAUUGAAAUGAUUCAAUGCUAUUUCUUAGAAAUCUAACAAUGACAAAAAUUAUACUUUGAAUUUAUUUUACAUAGGAAAUUAGUUAAAAUGUUUUCAACAUCAAUGACACCAUGAUAGGACUAUAAAUCUAUCAGGAAGCAGUUUAGAGUUUGUCUUAAAUCCCAUUAAGCUA